This 710-nucleotide long non-coding RNA is filed under the name Apteryx rowi (Okarito brown kiwi). RNAcentral describes it as "lncRNA (ENSARWG00000005086.1)". The record is from RNAcentral. Lineage: Eukaryota; Metazoa; Chordata; Aves; Apterygiformes; Apterygidae.
GUUUGUAUGGCCUCUGCCACUGCACUGGGAUACUUAACAUUUAACCAGACUGCGUACCGCCAUCUAUUAGUAGAGUGCAGGAAUAAACCAAAGCAGUUUAGCUGUCUAAUGAAUAACCUCGGCAGAGAUGCACAAAUAGACCAGAAUUUUGUAAAUGAGUUCCAGUGAGAAAGACGAGUGGGACUGCCUUCUCUAAGUUUGAUGAUAAACGGAGGACCACCUGCAGUUCCAACUUACUCUAGAGAGAGGUUGUGGAGUUGUAGAGGAAGACAUCCCCGGACUAAAUGUCAACCCAAGGAUUCACUACUAUUAAUAUCUACCCCUGCUCACUUAAGGGGAAAACUCAGGAGAGCAAAUAUGUUCCAUAGACAAACUUCUAGAAUAUAUUCAUUUACAUAUGCAGUUUCGUCAGACAUCACAAAAGUUUAAAGACCAAGAAUUGUUAAUGUCAGUAAGAUUUAAGCACUGCACCAGGAGAAAAGUUUAAGUCCUGUGUCAACGAUGGAGUUGAAAAGCACUUAAUGUAAUUAUGCAAUGUUCUGUUACUUUGUAUUUACAAAGUUUCUUAUGUCAGUUAUUUCACAAACAUGUUUUGUGAAAUCUCAGUUCUUGAGACUGUGUUAGAUGAAGGAAGACCAUCUAUGAAUACUUUAAAAAGAGCUACAGUGCUAAAGAAUAAAUGCAUUAAAAAUUUAAAAACUGUGAAGUAA